CAUGCUGAAGAUUUCUCACUGGAUGAUAAUAUUCUAUGGUCAAGUAAACCACCUGAAGUUGAUAGCUAUCAAAUUGAGAUGUUAACUGAGAACAAUCAAUGUUAUACCAUUAGGAGACAGCCA
This is a long non-coding RNA of Phyllostomus discolor (pale spear-nosed bat), 123 nucleotides long. RefSeq lists it as uncharacterized. Lineage: Eukaryota; Metazoa; Chordata; Mammalia; Chiroptera; Phyllostomidae. The record is from RefSeq and is a predicted model, not a curated record. The transcript is spliced from 3 exons.